UACCUAACAGUGGUGAAAGCACAGGGUAC
Molecule: non-coding RNA, 29 nt
Filed under: Rattus norvegicus (Norway rat)
Lineage: Eukaryota; Metazoa; Chordata; Mammalia; Rodentia; Muridae
Source: RNAcentral